ACCCACACACUGUAUGUGCGUGGAUCGACCAGGAACAAAGAAAAACAAGGGCUCACCCUUGUUCUCACCAAUUCGCCAAAUUGACAAGGGAAAAUCGAUGUUUACUAGUUGCAUGUAGUAGGAUUUCGAUCAUUUACCCAUACCCAAUCAAGUGGAACGUGUCAAGGAGAGGUCAAGCAUAGGAGGAUAACGGGUCAAGAUAAGGCAAGGUGACAAAUACACUUAUUGGAGUACUCGAGGUAUGGGAUCGUUGGCUUCAUGAAGAAAUGGAGCUGGAUUUGGAUAAGAGUAUUUAAGAAAGCGCUUGGACAAUUCCACGACUACUUCAUAGAAUGCUCUACGAAA
This is a long non-coding RNA of Helianthus annuus (common sunflower), 345 nucleotides long. RefSeq lists it as uncharacterized. The record is from RefSeq and is a predicted model, not a curated record. The transcript is spliced from 3 exons. NCBI's taxonomy places the organism in Eukaryota, Viridiplantae, Streptophyta, Magnoliopsida, Asterales, Asteraceae.